This 497-nucleotide ribosomal RNA is filed under the name uncultured bacterium. Its description in RNAcentral is "partial 16S ribosomal RNA". It matches the Rfam family "Bacterial small subunit ribosomal RNA", at positions 27 to 507 of the family's 1533-position model. The record is from RNAcentral.
GGGGGGGGGGGGGGGGGGGGGGGGGGGGGGGGGGGCGGGGGGGGGGGCGGGGGGGGUGGGGCUCUGAUGUUGGCGGCGGACGGGUGGGUGGCACGUGGAUAACCUCCCUAUCAGCCUGGGCUCACUUCGGGAAACCGGAGCUAAUCCCGGAUAAUAUUUUGAACCUCAUGGUUCAACAUUGAAAGACGCUCUUUCUGUCACUCAUAGAUGUAUCCGCUCUGCAUUAGCUAUGUGGUAAGGUAACGGCUUACCAAGGCAACGAUGCAUAGCCGACCUGAGAGGGUGAUCGGCCACACUGGAACUGAGACAAGGUCCAGACUCCUACGGGAGGCAGCAGUAGGGAAGCUUCCGCAAUGGGCGAAAGCCUGACGGAGCAACGCCGCGUGAGUGAUGAAGGUCUUCGGAUCGUAAAACUCUGUUAUUAGGGAAGAACAUAUGUGUAAGUAACUGUGCACAUCUUGACGGUACCUAAUCAGAAAGCCACGGCUAACUACGUG